AUCUAAGCGGGAAGCCUGCUCUAAGAUUAGCAUUCCUUACACUUUUGUGUGUGAACCCCCAUGUAGAACACGUGGUUGAUAGGCUGGAUGUGGAAGCCCUGUGAGGGGUGGAGCUGACCAGUACUAAUGGGUGAUUGU
RNAcentral lists this ribosomal RNA (138 nucleotides) under Gardnerella sp. KA00735. Its description in RNAcentral is "partial 23S ribosomal RNA". It matches the Rfam family "Bacterial large subunit ribosomal RNA", at positions 2779 to 2912 of the family's 2925-position model. The record is from RNAcentral. Lineage: Bacteria; Bacillati; Actinomycetota; Actinomycetes; Bifidobacteriales; Bifidobacteriaceae.